This 253-nucleotide ribosomal RNA is filed under the name uncultured prokaryote. Its description in RNAcentral is "partial 16S ribosomal RNA". It matches the Rfam family "Bacterial small subunit ribosomal RNA", at positions 525 to 777 of the family's 1533-position model. The record is from RNAcentral.
ACGUAGGCAGCGAGCGUUGUUCGGAGUUACUGGGCGUAAAGCGUGCGUAGGCGGUGGCCCAAGUCUGGUGUGAAAUCUCCCGGCUCAACCGGGAGGGUGCGCCGGAGACUGGGUCGCUCGAGUACUGGAGAGGCAAGCGGAACUCCUGGUGUAGCGGUGAAAUGCGUAGAUAUCCGGAGGAACACCAGUGGCGAAAGCGGCCACCUGGACUGUACCUGACGCUCAAACGCGAAAGCUAGGGGAGCGAACGGGA